This 497-nucleotide ribosomal RNA is filed under the name uncultured bacterium. RNAcentral's name for it is "partial 16S ribosomal RNA". It matches the Rfam family "Bacterial small subunit ribosomal RNA", at positions 28 to 507 of the family's 1533-position model. The record is from RNAcentral.
GAUGAACGCUGGCGGCGUGCCUAAUACAUGCAAGUCGAGCGACCGGACGAGAAGCUUUCUUCUCUGAUGUUAGCGGCGGACGGGUGAGUAACACGUGGAUAACCUACCUCUAUGACUGGGAUAACUUCGGGAAACCGGAGCUAAUACUGGAUAAUAUUUUGUACCGCAUGGUUCAAAAGUGAAAGACGGUUUUGCUGUCUCUUAUAGAUGGAUCCGCGCUGCAUUAGCUAGUUGGUAAGGUAACGGCUUACCAAGGCAACGAUGCAUAGCCGACCUGAGAGGGUGAUCGGCCACACUGGAACUGAGACACGGUCCAGACUCCUACGGGAGGCAGCAGUAGGGAAUCUUCCGCAAUGGGCGAAAGCCUGACGGAGCAACGCCGCGUGAGUGAUGAAGGUCUUCGGAUCGUAAAACUCUGUUAUUAGGGAAGAAAAGAUGUGUAUGUAACUGUGCACAUCUUGACGGUACCUAAUCAGAAAGCCACGGCUAACUACGUG